GCCUGAGUGGCUCAGUCAGUUAAGCGUCUGACUUCAGCUCAGGUCAUGAUCUCACGGUUUGUGGGUUCAAGCCCCGCGUCAGGCU
RNAcentral lists this transfer RNA (85 nucleotides) under Felis catus (domestic cat). It matches the Rfam family "tRNA". From Rfam's summary of the family: Transfer RNA (tRNA) molecules are approximately 80 nucleotides in length. Lineage: Eukaryota; Metazoa; Chordata; Mammalia; Carnivora; Felidae. RNAcentral also lists the same sequence under 1 other name. The record is from Rfam by way of RNAcentral.